GAGCGGUAUUGUUUCUUCGGAAACUAUAUAGCGGCGCACGGGUGCGGAACACGUGUGCAACCUGCCUUUAUCUGGGGGAUAGCCUUUCGAAAGGAAGAUUAAUACCCCAUAAUAUUUUGAAUGGCAUCAUUUAAAAUUGAAAACUCCGGUGGAUAGAGAUGGGCACGCGCAAGAUUAGAUAGUUGGUAGGGUAACGGCCUACCAAGUCAGUGAUCUUUAGGGGGCCUGAGAGGGUGAUCCCCCACACUGGUACUGAGACACGGACCAGACUCCUACGGGAGGCAGCAGUGAGGAAUAUUGGACAAUGGGUGAGAGCCUGAUCCAGCCAUCCCGCGUGAAGGACGACGGCCCUAUGGGUUGUAAACUUCUUUUGUACAGGGAUAAACCUUUCCACGUGUGGAAAGCUGAAGGUACUGUACGAAUAAGCACCGGCUAACUCCGUG
This 443-nucleotide ribosomal RNA is filed under the name uncultured bacterium. RNAcentral describes it as "bacterial SSU rRNA". It matches the Rfam family "Bacterial small subunit ribosomal RNA", at positions 64 to 507 of the family's 1533-position model. The record is from RNAcentral.